RNA transcript from Rosa chinensis, 2600 nucleotides. It is a transcript of the gene named heterogeneous nuclear ribonucleoprotein 1, with no coding region annotated. Lineage: Eukaryota; Viridiplantae; Streptophyta; Magnoliopsida; Rosales; Rosaceae. The transcript has 7 exons. The record is from RefSeq and is a predicted model, not a curated record.
AGUGCCUAUAUAUUCCUAUCAGACCUCUCCAAUUACCUUCUCUUUCUCUCUCUACUUGUGUUUCUCUCUCUAGAAAUACACAUUCUUUGUUUUUUCAAUCCCUCACUCAUCUGUUAGGUAACUGAAUUUGCAUUUGGUAAUCAAAUUUACACCAUUGAAACAACCAAUACAAAGUUUUGGAGGGGGGCAUAUAUGGAGAGGAGGUUGAACAUGCCCUCUGUUCUUAUUGUUACAGUGCCUCCUCUCAGAUCUUAAUUUUCUUCAAGGUUUGGCAUCUGGGUUUUCGUUAAUCGGUGUGCUGAAUUGUGCGUCCAGUGUUUGAUCGGUGAAGGAUCGGAUAUCACUAAAUUGAAUCCAGGAUUACUUGUUUGAAUCUGUGUGUUUGUUUGAGACAUUUUAGCAAAAGGAAAAAUGCAAUCCGAUAGUGGCAAGUUAUUCAUUGGUGGCAUAUCUUGGGACACAAAUGAAGAGCGUCUCAAAGAGUAUUUCAGUGCUUUUGGGGAGGUGGUAGAAGCAGUGAUCAUGAAGGAUCGGACCACAGGACGUGCUCGUGGAUUUGGUUUUGUAGUUUUUGCAGACCCAGCAGUAGCAGACACUGUCAUAAUGGAAAAGCACAACAUUGAUGGAAGAAUGGUGGAGGCAAAAAAGGCUGUUCCCAGGGAUGACCAGAACACUUUGAGUAGAAACAGUGGCAGCAUCCAUGGUUCUCCAGGUCCAGGACGCACAAGAAAAAUAUUUGUUGGAGGUUUAGCAUCUACUGUUACAGAGGGUGACUUCAAGAAGUACUUUGAACAGUUUGGGACAAUUACAGAUGUUGUGGUGAUGUAUGAUCACAACACCCAGAGGCCGAGAGGCUUCGGAUUCAUCACUUAUGAUUCAGAGGAAGCAGUGGACAAGGUUUUGCUAAAGACAUUUCAUGAACUGAAUGGGAAGAUGGUUGAGGUCAAGCGUGCAGUUCCAAAAGAGUUAUCACCCGGUCCCAGUCGCAGCCCUCUUGGUGGAUACAAUUAUGGUCUGAGUAGGGUCAAUAACUUCCUUACUGGCUAUACUCAGGGGUAUAAUCCAAGUACGGUUGGAGGUUAUGGACUUGGUAGGUUCAGUCCAGUUGCUGGUGGUCGAAGUGGAUUUCCUCCAUUUGGUUCUGGUUAUGGAAUGGGAAUGAACUUUGAGCCAGGGUUGAGCCCAAGUUUUGGAGGAAAUGCAAAUUUUAAUAAUAAUGUGAGCUAUGGACGGGGAUUGAGCCCUUAUUAUAUCAAUAAUUCAAAUAGGUUUAGCAAUCCCAUUGGAUAUGAUGGUAAUAAUGGAGGAAGCUCAUCCUUUUUUAGCUCAGUGACUCGGAAUUUGUGGGGUAAUGGGGGUCUUAAUACAAAUUCUGCAAAUUCCAGUGCUUACAUGGGUUCAGGAAGUGGUAGCAUUGGAGGAAGUACAUUUGGCAAUGCUGGAGUUAAUUGGCGUUCUUCAGCAAUUUCACCUCAAGGUGGAGGAAAUAAUGUCUCUAACAAUAGUGGGACACUUGGCUAUGGAGCUGGUGAUAACAGUUAUGGCUUGGGAACCGGAGGGUAUGGAAGAAACAGUGGUGCAACUGUGGGCCCUACAUCUUCUUUUGCUGCAUCAAAUGGUGGUUUUGAGGGCUCCUUUACUGACUUCUACAGUAGUGGUUCAGUGUACGGAGAUCCUACUUGGAGAUCAUCAAAUUCUGAGCGAGAUGGGUCUGGCCCCUUUGGGUAUGGGCUUGGCAGUGCAGCUUCUGAUGUUUCAGCUAAAAGUUCUCCUGGUUAUGUUGGUGGUUAUAGUGUUAAUAAGAGACAGCCGAAUACAGGGUACUUCGUUUAAAUAAUUUGGGACGGAAUAAUGGAUGUCUAUAAACAACGUCCUCCUUCUGAGAUACAUGGUUUAAAGUUUUGCAUUUGAUAUUGGGGCGUAGAGAAAAUUGUUCAUAUUUACAUUGUAUAUGGUAUUGAUGGGAUAUAAUCGGGUCUUCUGACAAAAGAGGAACUAAAAAAAGAGCUUUAUGGGAUCUCUCCUUUCUUGUGUAGGAAUUGCUGCCUAGGAUCAUUUCUGAUAUCACGUCAUAGUAGGUGAAGAUAAUCCGGUGAAGCAGGUGAAUUGUGAAUUUUGCAAACCUACCUCAUUCAUAUAUCUCAGUAAAAGAAAUUUGGUUAGUAAGAGCUAACUGGGAGUGCCUGUUUUGAAGGAUUAAAGUUAGAGAUAGAAGUUAAAAUGGAUUUUGUGUUAAUGCUUUUGUUUUGAGUUACCCUUUUAGGCUUUUUUGUUUUGAUCUUUGAGUGAGAUGUAAAAUCAGAUUGCGGGAUAUAGUCAGAAGUGUAUCAUGCAUCUCCGGUGAGGCGGCGAUACCAAAAAGAAAAAAAAAACAAAAAAACAAAAAGUUAUAGACUGAUAUAUAUUUUCUUUCUUCUACUUUAGAAUUUCAUCUGUAACAUCUCUGGCAAAGUCGUGGGUUCUGGUCAGGGAAUGGUUUUUUCUUAUUCUUUCAUCCCAUCAUUUGGUUUGUUUUUUCUCUUCUUUUUGUACCUGAGAUUACAGUUUAUUUACUAGUGUGAAACAUUUAAGGGUUACCCAUCUAGGGACCCCAUGAAUAA